AGAACGAACGCUGGCGGCAGGCUUAACACAUGCAAGUCGAGCGCCCCGCAAGGGGAGCGGCAGACGGGUGAGUAACGCGUGGGAACAUACCCUCCGGUUCGGAAUAGCUCAGGGAAACUUGGAUUAAUACCGGAUACGGCCUAGCGGCGAAAGAUUCAUCGCCGGAGGAUUGGCCCGCGUCUGAUUAGCUAGUUGGUGGGGUAAUGGCCCACCAAGGCGACGAUCAGUAGCUGGUCUGAGAGGAUGAUCAGCCACAUUGGGACUGAGACACGGCCCAAACUCCUACGGGAGGCAGCAGUGGGGAAUAUGGACAAUGGGCGCAAGCCUGAUCCAGCCAUGCCGCGUGAGUGAUGACGGCCUUAGGGUUGUAAAGCUCUUUCGCUAGGGACGAUAAUGACGGUACCUAGACAAGAAGCCCCGGCUAACUUCGUGCCAGCAGCCGC
This 443-nucleotide ribosomal RNA is filed under the name uncultured bacterium. Its description in RNAcentral is "SSU rRNA". It matches the Rfam family "Bacterial small subunit ribosomal RNA", at positions 26 to 518 of the family's 1533-position model. The record is from RNAcentral.